CGACCGGCGCACGGGUGAGUAACACGUAUCCAACCUGCCGUCUACUCUUGGACAGCCUUCUGAAAGGAAGAUUAAUACAAGAUGGCAUCAUGAGUCCGCAUGUUCACAUGAUUAAAGGUAUUCCGGUAGACGAUGGGGAUGCGUUCCAUUAGAUAGUAGGCGGGGUAACGGCCCACCAAGACUACGAUGGAUAGGGGUUCUGAGAGGAAGGCCCCCCACAUUGGAACUGAGACACGGUCCAAACUCCUACGGGAGGCAGCAUG
Molecule: ribosomal RNA, 263 nt
Filed under: uncultured bacterium
Lineage: Bacteria
Description: partial 16S ribosomal RNA
Rfam family: Bacterial small subunit ribosomal RNA
Source: RNAcentral